This 644-nucleotide ribosomal RNA is filed under the name uncultured Enterobacteriaceae bacterium. RNAcentral describes it as "bacterial SSU rRNA". It matches the Rfam family "Bacterial small subunit ribosomal RNA", at positions 857 to 1502 of the family's 1533-position model. The record is from RNAcentral. Lineage: Bacteria; Pseudomonadati; Pseudomonadota; Gammaproteobacteria; Enterobacterales; Enterobacteriaceae.
GCGAUAAAUCGACCGCUUGGGAGUACGGCCGCAAGGUUAAAACUCAAAUGAAUUGACGGGGGCCCGCACAAGCGGUGGAGCAUGUGGUUUAAUUCGAUGCAACGCGAAGAACCUUACCUGGUCUUGACAUCCAUAGAAUUCUGCAGAGAUGUGGGAGUGCCUUCGGGAACUAUGAGACAGGUGCUGCAUGGCUGUCGUCAGCUCGUGUUGUGAAAUGUUGGGUUAAGUCCCGCAACGAGCGCAACCCUUAUUCUUUGUUGCCAGCGAUUUGGUCGGGAACUCAAAGGAGACUGCCGUUGAUAAAGCGGAGGAAGGUGGGGACGACGUCAAGUCAUCAUGGCCCUUACGACCAGGGCUACACAUGUGCUACAAUGGCGUAUACAAAGGGAAGCGAAGGUGCGAGCUGGAGCGGAUCUCAUAAAGUACGUCUAAGUUCGGAUUGGAGUCUGCAACUCGACUCCAUGAAGUCGGAAUCGCUAGUAAUCGUAGAUCAGAAUGCUACGGUGAAUACGUUCCCGGGCCUUGUACACACCGCCCGUCACACCAUGGGAGUGGGUUGCACCAGAAGUAGAUAGCUUAACCGCGAGGGGGGCGUUUACCACGGUGUGAUUCAUGACUGGGGUGAAGUCGUAACAAGGUAACCA